This 519-nucleotide ribosomal RNA is filed under the name uncultured eukaryote. Its description in RNAcentral is "SSU rRNA". It matches the Rfam family "Eukaryotic small subunit ribosomal RNA", at positions 1161 to 1705 of the family's 1831-position model. The record is from RNAcentral.
AGGGCACCACCAGGAGUGGAGCCUGCGGCUUAAUUUGACUCAACACGGGGAAACUCACCCGGCCCGGACACCGUAAGGAUUGACAGAUUGAUAGCUUUUUCAUGAUUCGGUGGAUGGUGGUGCAUGGCCGUUCUCAGUUCGUGGAGCGAUUUGUCUGGUUUAUUCCGAUAACGAGCGAGACUCUAGCCUACUAAAUAGUUCGCACAUUGUCUCUGUGUGUGUGACUUCUUAGAGGGAUUUUCGGUGUUCGGCCGCACGAAAUUGAGCAAUAACAGGUCUGUGAUGCCCUUAGAUGUCCGGGGCUGCACGCGCGCUACACUGGCAAAAUCAGCGUGCUUGUCCUUCCCCGAAAGGGGUUGGUAAACCCUUGAAAAUUUGCCGCGAUUGGGAUUGGAAACUGCAAUUAUUUUCCAUGAACGAGGAAUUCCAAGUAAGUGCGAGUCAUCAACUCGCGUUGAUUACGUCCCUGCCCUUUGUACACACCGCCCGUCGCUGCCCGGGACUGAGCCAUUUCGAGAA